Gasterosteus aculeatus aculeatus (three-spined stickleback) is the source of this 813-nucleotide long non-coding RNA. RefSeq lists it as uncharacterized. The record is from RefSeq and is a predicted model, not a curated record. Lineage: Eukaryota; Metazoa; Chordata; Actinopteri; Perciformes; Gasterosteidae.
CUACGGGAUGUCUAUAAGAGCAGAUCGCCGGGACAGCCCGCUGAAUUGCAUGACAUGAGGAGUGAGGCGCAGGUGCCAGAAGCGAAAUUUAAAAAGAUCAAAAUCCGACAUAUAUUUUUUUUACAAGAAUGUAGUAGCAGUGCUGGCCAUGGGGUUUUAUUCAAGUCGUAAAGUGUAGAAAUCUCCGCUGGAGUUGAGAAGACCAUGGGGGUCGCGGGGGGAGCUGGAAUCCAUCCCAGCCAAGAUCGGGCGAGAGACGGGGCCGUCAAUUGCAGGGCUGACACAUAUCCACACAUAUAUGCAUAUCUAUACACAUGUACAUAUGUAUAUAUACAUGCACAGGAAUAACUGAACUCUACGAGCCUGACUAUGAUUUCAGCACAUAGGUAUCAAUAAUUACAUGUAAGAGAUGUUAUGCUAAGGACAAUAUGUUUGAAUACAUUUUUAAAAAAGCUUUACAUAUGUGCUGUACAUUUGAGAAGGAAUAUUACAGGACCAAAUUCUGGAAGGAGGAAGACUCCUUGACAGAUAGGUGAAGGUUUUGGGUUUUGAAGUUAGAGCAGGGCAGCCAUCAGGGAAAGACUACAUGUAUAAUCCUAAUGAAAACCAAUCCCCUCCUCCCAGCAAAAGAGCAACGGGAAUUUCCUGAAACUGCCGUUAAUUCUGAUAUUCACUCCUCGUCCUAGGUGUCUUUUUUGUCAAAUUUCUAAGGAAAGCUUUUGGUUUGUGAUUUCCCCAUUCACAAAUAUGCAAGUUUAAGUACAAGCCAUGUCAUGUCUUAUUUCUGAUUAAUAAAUAGAUUAAUCAAUAAUA